RNAcentral lists this long non-coding RNA (1406 nucleotides) under Rattus norvegicus (Norway rat). RNAcentral describes it as "long non-coding RNA NONRATT027104". The record is from RNAcentral. Lineage: Eukaryota; Metazoa; Chordata; Mammalia; Rodentia; Muridae.
AGAGCUGUGUCCAGGAGCCGUCACCAUGUCGGAGAAAUUCGAGGUCACAAACCUGAACAUGAAAUCAGGGAUGUCCCUGAAGAUUAAAGGCAAGAUCCACAAUGAUGUUAACAGCUCACCCUUACCUUCCAAGACAAAGACUUCAAGGUGACGCUGCCUGAUGGACACUCGCUGACCUUCCCCAACAGGCUGGGCCACAACCACCUGCGCUACUUAAGCAUGGAUGGGCUCCAGAUCUCCUCCUUCAAGCUCGAGUGAGCAUCUCCUCAGAAGACCUUAGCCCCAAACCAGCUUCAGCCAGCCCUCCAGCAAGCCCCCACCAGAACCGCAGUCUUUAUAGGUUCUGCUCUUACUCACCGUUCACUCUGAACUCCUGCCCUAACUAAUUAACCCCUUCCCCAAGUUCAAGGCCAAAUAAAAGAAUCCAUUUUUAUUAUUUCCACAGCAAGAACUGUUAGCACUUUCCAUAAGUGUUAAUGCUCCCCGUCUUUGGUGCAGGGGAGGAAACUGAGGCACAGGGUAUAGCAUUGCCAAGAGAAGAGGACGGGAGGUGAUCCUGAGCCACCCUGUGCAUGGGAACCUGUCUCUCUCCGGGUGAUCUGAGCACCUGCCAAGCUGCCCCAUGGGAUUAUGGGGCAGAUACUGGUUCCUGGCACCUGGGGCAGGGGUGUUCCAGGAACUGGAGAUAAGGGUCCCACCUGGGCCUCUUAUCUUCCAACAUUCCAGGCUGGUUACUCAUUACCUCGUCUGGCCCCCCUCUCCUAGCUGGAGGGGGGUUGCUGGAAGGGGGUCCUCAACUUUCCAAACUCCCAGGAGGAUAAAGUACACCUCGGCAGGGGCCAAGGCCUGCCUCCUUGGGCAGACAGAUCUUACCAGAAAGGCUUUUACAAUCAGGCAUGGGAGGCAGCUCUGGGGUACACAUAAGAUAGAAUCUACUUAGAGGUCACACCUGACCUUUCUCAGGGAACUGAGGAGAAGCCUGGAACCAGCUAUUGAAAACACAGUGGUGGCCUUCUGCGGCAGCUCUCCAUGAGCAGGGGCAGGCAGUCCCACUCAGACAAUGGCCCUGUGUGGUCCUUGCCCCACCCCCACCCACCAGGGAAACAUCUUGGGGCACAAAGGCCAUACUGUCAGGCCACAGGGGGGUGGCAUAUGUUAUGACUAAAGGGCUAGUGGGCCUAGGGGCAUGGAGGGAGCUGGGUCAGGUCAGCAGGGACCCUCCCCACAUCCAAGCCUGGGCAACUCCCGUUGGGCAGGUGACCAUGUCUUGAGGACAGACGCAGUCGUUAAGGAAAUUAACUCAGCCCUUCUGUGUGAGCCCCUAGGCUGGCAGGACCUGGGCCCACGGCCAGUCUCUCACACCUUGACCUCGUCAUCCUCAUCAGCGUCAGCAAACUCAAAGGCAU